Molecule: non-coding RNA, 212 nt
Submitted as: unclassified sequences
Source: Rfam
CGGGGCUUGGAUCAUGAUGCUGUGGGCCCCGCCAGCGUUGAACUGGUGAUCACGGGGAUCUCCAUACACCAGUCGGUAUAGCCAUCAAAGUCUGAAAGUAGGCCGUCGGGGGUGCUCACCUUAGCCCGUCGCUCCGAAUUUUAUGAGGACGAUGAUGCUGCACGCCGUGGAGGGGUAAGCUGAGUCAGGCAGCUUAGAAUGUGCAGACGCCG